Molecule: ribosomal RNA, 420 nt
Filed under: uncultured bacterium
Lineage: Bacteria
Description: bacterial SSU rRNA
Rfam family: Bacterial small subunit ribosomal RNA
Source: RNAcentral
AAGGAAUAUUGGUCAAUGGAGGGAACUCUGAACCAGCCAUGCCGCGUGCAGGAAGACAGCCCUCUGGGUCGUAAACUGCUUUUAUUCGGGAAUAAACCUUAUUACGUGUAAUAAGCUGAAUGUACCGAAGGAAUAAGGAUCGGCUAACUCCGUGCCAGCAGCCGCGGUAAUACGGAGGAUCCAAGCGUUAUCCGGAUUUAUUGGGUUUAAAGGGUGCGUAGGCGGCUUAUUAAGUCAGGGGUGAAAGCCGGUGGCUCAACCAUCGCAGUGCCCUUGAUACUGAUGAGCUUGAAUACACUAGAGGUAGGCGGAAUGUGACAAGUAGCGGUGAAAUGCAUAGAUAUGUCACAGAACACCGAUUGCGAAGGCAGCUUACUAUGGUGUGACUGACGCUGAGGCACGAAAGCGUGGGGAUCAAAC